CUGCAUGAAGUUGGAAUUGCUAGUAAUCGCGGAUCAGCAUGCCGCGGUGAAUACGUUCCCGGGGAUUGUACACACCGCCCGUCACACCAUGAGAGUCGGGAACACCCAAAGUCCGUAGUCUAACCGCAAGGAGGACGCGGCCUAAGGUGGGUUCGAUAAUUGGGGUGAAGUCGUAACAAGGUACC
RNAcentral lists this ribosomal RNA (185 nucleotides) under uncultured bacterium. RNAcentral describes it as "partial 16S ribosomal RNA". It matches the Rfam family "Bacterial small subunit ribosomal RNA", at positions 1316 to 1500 of the family's 1533-position model. The record is from RNAcentral.